This 789-nucleotide ribosomal RNA is filed under the name Vibrio parahaemolyticus. RNAcentral's name for it is "partial 23S ribosomal RNA". It matches the Rfam family "Bacterial large subunit ribosomal RNA", at positions 1123 to 1898 of the family's 2925-position model. The record is from RNAcentral. Lineage: Bacteria; Pseudomonadati; Pseudomonadota; Gammaproteobacteria; Vibrionales; Vibrionaceae.
UUAAAGAAAGCGUAAUAGCUCACUGGUCGAGUCGGCCUGCGCGGAAGAUGUAACGGGGCUAAGUAGUAAACCGAAGCUGCGGCAAUAUACUUUUGUAUAUUGGGUAGGGGAGCGUUCUGUAAGCGGUUGAAGGUGUGUGGUAACGCAUGCUGGACGUAUCAGAAGUGCGAAUGCUGACAUGAGUAACGAUAAAGGGGGUGAAAAACCUCCUCGCCGGAAGACCAAGGGUUCCUGUCCAACGUUAAUCGGGGCAGGGUAAGUCGACCCCUAAGGCGAGGCCGAAAGGCGUAGUCGAUGGGAAACGGGUUAAUAUUCCCGUACUUCUUACAAUUGCGAUGGGGGGACGGAGAAGGCUAGGUGGGCCUGGCGACGGUUGUCCAGGUUCAAGUGCGUAGGCUUAAGAGUUAGGUAAAUCCGGCUCUUUCUAAGGCUGAGACACGACGUCGAGCAUCUACGGAUGUGAAGUCAUUGAUGCCAUGCUUCCAGGAAAAGCCUCUAAGCUUCAGAUUGUAAGGAAUCGUACCCCAAACCGACACAGGUGGUCGGGUAGAGAAUACCAAGGCGCUUGAGAGAACUCGGGUGAAGGAACUAGGCAAAAUGGUACCGUAACUUCGGGAGAAGGUACGCUCUCGACGGUGAAGUCCCUCGCGGAUGGAGCUAUUGAGAGUCGCAGAUACCAGGUGGCUGCAACUGUUUAUUAAAAACACAGCACUGUGCAAAAUCGUAAGAUGACGUAUACGGUGUGACGCCUGCCCGGUGCCGGAAGGUUAAUUGAUGGGGUUAGACUUC